Molecule: ribosomal RNA, 254 nt
Filed under: uncultured bacterium
Lineage: Bacteria
Description: partial 16S ribosomal RNA
Rfam family: Bacterial small subunit ribosomal RNA
Source: RNAcentral
CGGACGGGUGAGUAAUGUCUGGGAAACUGCCCGAUGGAGGGGGGAUAACUACUGGAAACGGUAGCUAAUACCGCAUAACGUCGCAAGACCAAAGAGGGGGACCUUCGGGCCUCUUGCCAUCGGAUGUGCCCAGAUGGGAUUAGCUAGUAGGUGGGGUAAAGGCUCACCUAGGCGACGAUCCCUAGCUGGUCUGAGAGGAUGACCAGCCACACUGGAACUGAGACACGGUCCAGACUCCUACGGGAGGCAGCAUG